UACAGAGGGGGCAAGCGUUGUUCGGAAUUACUGGGCGUAAAGGGCGCGUAGGCGGCCUCUUAAGUCGAACGUGAAAUCCCCGGGCUCAACCCGGGAACUGCGUCCGAUACUGGGGGGCUUGAAUCCGGGAGAGGGAUGUGGAAUUCCUGGUGUAGCGGUGAAAUGCGCAGAUAUCAGGAGGAACACCAGUGGCGAAGGCGGUGCUCUGGGCCGGUACUGACGCUGAGGAGCGAAAGCGUGGGUAGCAAACAGG
This 253-nucleotide ribosomal RNA is filed under the name uncultured bacterium. RNAcentral's name for it is "partial 16S ribosomal RNA". It matches the Rfam family "Bacterial small subunit ribosomal RNA", at positions 524 to 776 of the family's 1533-position model. The record is from RNAcentral.